CCCGCACAAGCGGUGAGCAUGUGGUUUAAUUCGACGCAACGCGAAGAACCUUACCUGGGCUUGACAUCCCGAUCGCACCUUAUGGAAACAUAGGGGUCAGUUCGGCUGGAUCGGUGACAGGUGCUGCAUGGCUGUCGUCAGCUCGUGUCGUGAGAUGUUGGGUUAAGUCCCGCAACGAGCGCAACCCUUGUCCUUAGUUGCCAGCAUUCAGUUGGGCACUCUAAGGAGACUGCCGGUGUCAAACCGGAGGAAGGUGGGGAUGACGUCAAGUCCUCAUGGCCCUUAUGGGUAGGGCUUCACACGUCAUACAAUGGUCGGUACAGAGGGUUGCCAAGCCGCGAGGCGGAGCCAAUCCCACAAAGCCGAUCGUAGUCCGGAUUGUUCUCUGCAACUCGAGGGCAUGAAGUCGGAAUCGCUAGUAAUCGCAGGUCAGCAUACUGCGGUGAAUACGUUCCCGGGUCUU
This 463-nucleotide ribosomal RNA is filed under the name uncultured Geothermobacter sp. Its description in RNAcentral is "bacterial SSU rRNA". It matches the Rfam family "Bacterial small subunit ribosomal RNA", at positions 920 to 1382 of the family's 1533-position model. Lineage: Bacteria; Pseudomonadati; Thermodesulfobacteriota; Desulfuromonadia; Desulfuromonadales; Geothermobacteraceae. The record is from RNAcentral.